RNAcentral lists this ribosomal RNA (426 nucleotides) under Macrotermes gilvus. Its description in RNAcentral is "partial 16S ribosomal RNA". The stretch from base 1 to 167 matches the Rfam family "Bacterial large subunit ribosomal RNA", at positions 1797 to 2024 of the family's 2925-position model. Lineage: Eukaryota; Metazoa; Arthropoda; Insecta; Blattodea; Termitidae. The record is from RNAcentral.
CGCCUGUUUAUCAAAAACAUCUUUUCUUGUUAGUUUUUGAAGUAUGGCCUGCCCGCUGAUUUUAGGUUGAAGGGCCGCGGUAUUUUGACCGUGCAAAGGUAGCAUAAUCAUUAGUUCUUUAAUUGUGAUCUGGUAUGAAUGGCUUGACGAGGCAUGGGCUGUCUUAGGAUUGGGAUUUUUUAUUGAAUUUGGUUUUUGAGUUAGAAUUCUUAAAUGUUUUUAUGGGACGAGAAGACCCUAUAGAGUUUGACAUUUAUUUAUACGGCGUUUUGGUUUGUUGUGUAGUUGCUUUGUGUUAAUGUGUUUUGUUGGGGUGAUGGGAAGAAUUUUCUUAACUCUUCUUUGUUUUGGUAUAUUGAUUUAUAUUAUUUUUGAUCCAUUUAUUUUGAUUAUAAGAUUAAAUUACCUUAGGGAUAACAGCGUAAA